This 405-nucleotide ribosomal RNA is filed under the name uncultured bacterium. Its description in RNAcentral is "partial 16S ribosomal RNA". It matches the Rfam family "Bacterial small subunit ribosomal RNA", at positions 355 to 774 of the family's 1533-position model. The record is from RNAcentral.
UGGGGAAUAUUGGGCAAUGGAGGAAACUCUUACCCAGCAAUGCCGCGUGAGUGAUGAAGGUCUUCGGAUUGUAAAGCUCUUUAAUUGGGGACGAAUAAAUGACGGUACCCAAGGAAUAAGCCCCGGCUAACUAUGUGCCAGCAGCCGCGGUAAUACAUAGGGGGCAAGCGUUGUCCGGAAUGACUGGGCGUAAAGGGUGCGUAGGUGGUUUGGUAAGUUGGAAGUGAAAUACCCAGAGCUUAACUCGGGUGCUGCUUCCAAAACUAUCAGACUUGAGUGCCGGAGAGGAAAAUGGAAUUCCUAGUGUAGCGGUGGAAUGCUUAGAUAUUAGGAGGAACACCAGAGGCGAAAGCGAUUUUCUGGACGGUAACUGACACUGAGGCACGAAAGCGUGGGGAGCAAACA